AUAAACGCUGGCGGCGUGCCUAAUACAUGCCAGUCGAGCGAACAGACGAGGAGCUUGCUCCUCUGACGUUAGCGGCGGACGGGUGAGUAACACGUGGAUAACCUACCUAUAAGACUGGGAUAACUUCGGGAAACCGGAGCUAAUACCGGAUAAUAUAUUGAACCGCAUGGUUCAAUAGUGAAAGACGGUUUUGCUGUCACUUAUAGAUGGAUCCGCGCCGCAUUAGCUAGUUGGUAAGGUAACGGCUUACCAAGGCAAUGAUGCGUAGCCGACCUGAGAGGGUGAUCGGCCACACUGGAACUGAGACACGGUCCAGACUCCUACGGGAGGCAGCAGUAGGGAAUCUUCCGCAAUGGGCGAAAGCCUGACGGAGCAACGCCGCGUGAGUGAUGAAGGUCUUCGGAUCGUAAAACUCUGUUAUUAGGGAAGAACAAAUGUGUAAGUAACUAUGCACGUCUUGACGGUACCUAAUCAGAAAGCCACGGCUAACUACGUG
This 496-nucleotide ribosomal RNA is filed under the name uncultured bacterium. RNAcentral describes it as "partial 16S ribosomal RNA". It matches the Rfam family "Bacterial small subunit ribosomal RNA", at positions 29 to 507 of the family's 1533-position model. The record is from RNAcentral.